RNAcentral lists this ribosomal RNA (543 nucleotides) under uncultured bacterium. RNAcentral describes it as "bacterial SSU rRNA". It matches the Rfam family "Bacterial small subunit ribosomal RNA", at positions 777 to 1314 of the family's 1533-position model. The record is from RNAcentral.
AAUAGAUACCCCGGUAGUCCACGCCGUAAACGAUGGGUACUAGGUGUAGGGGGUAUCGACCCCCCCUGUGCCGGAGUCAACACAAUAAGUACCCCGCCUGGGGAGUACGGCCGCAAGGUUGAAACUCAAAGGAAUUGACGGGGGCCCGCACAAGCGGUGGAGUAUGUGGUUUAAUUCGACGCAACGCGAAGAACCUUACCAGGGCUUGACAUCCUCUGACAAUCGUAGAGAUACGAAGUUCUUUCCUUCGGGAAAGACAGAGAGACAGGUGGUGCAUGGUUGUCGUCAGCUCGUGUCGUGAGAUGUUGGGUUAAGUCCCGCAACGAGCGCAACCCUUAUUCUUAGUUGCCAGCACGAAAGGUGGGCACUCUAAGGAGACUGCCGGUGACAAACCGGAGGAAGGUGGGGAUGACGUCAAAUCAUCAUGCCCUUUAUGUCCUGGGCUACACACGUACUACAAUGGCCUGUACAAAGGGAAGCGAAGCUGUGAAGCGGAGCCAAUCCCAAAAGCAGGUCUCAGUUCGGAUUGCAGGCUGCAACUCG